GAGAAGGAGUACAUGGAAGUGAUUCAGGAAAACAAGGAAAUGAGACACAAGUGGCAACAUUUGUCAAAGUUCUAUGCAUUUGUUCCUUUGGAUUUAAGUGAAACAUCUGGAGUCAAUUCUUAACCCAAUGUUGGUUUGUUGUCACCAACCUCUUUGCCCUGCUAUUGGACACAGUAAGAACCUUGUCAUCUGUAAAGCUGUAAGAGGACCCUUACCAAGAAAAUAACAAUGCUGGCACAGUUCUUUUGGACUUUCAGCCUCCAGAACUGGGAGAAAUAAAUGUUUGUUUUGUAAGCCACACAGUCUAUGGUAAUUUGUUAUAGCAGCCUGAGCUAAGACAAACCACGAUGCUCAUUACU
Long non-coding RNA from Camelus dromedarius (Arabian camel), 359 nucleotides. RefSeq lists it as uncharacterized. The transcript has 3 exons. Lineage: Eukaryota; Metazoa; Chordata; Mammalia; Artiodactyla; Camelidae. The record is from RefSeq and is a predicted model, not a curated record.